This 348-nucleotide ribosomal RNA is filed under the name uncultured bacterium. RNAcentral's name for it is "bacterial SSU rRNA". It matches the Rfam family "Bacterial small subunit ribosomal RNA", at positions 556 to 901 of the family's 1533-position model. The record is from RNAcentral.
GGGCAUAAAGUGUGUGCAGACGGUUUAUUAAGUUGCUUGUUUAAUUCUUCGGCCUAACCGAAGGCUCGCAAGCAAAACUGGUAGACUUGAGGAUGGAAGAGAGAAGUGGAAUUCUCGGAGUAGCGGUAAAAUGCGUAGAUCUCGAGAGGAACACCAAUGGCGAAGGCAGCUUCUUGGUCCAUUCCUGACGUUCAUACACGAAAGCGUGGGGAGCAAACAGGAUUAGAUACCCUGGUAGUCCACGCCGUAAACGAUGAUCACUAGACGUCAGUUUCGUUUAACGAAAUUGGUGUCGUAGCUAACGCGUUAAGUGAUCCGCCUGGGGACUACGGUCGCAAGACUAAAACU